UGCCAACAUGUCAGGCCCCGGUUUGCUGUGGGCAGCCGUGCUCUCCAUCUAUCUUGGACCCAGUGUGGCCCAGACGGUCAUUCAGCCUCAACCAGAAGCGUCUGUACAGGAGGCAGGCACAGUGACCCUGGACUGUGCAUAUAGCACCAGUGACAGUGAUUAUUAUUUAUUCUGGUACAAACAGCCUCCCAGCGGGGAGAUGGUUUUCAUUAUUCACCAAAAUGCUUAUGAACGACAGAAUGCAACCAACUAUCGCUACUCUGUGAACUUCCAGAAAGAAGCCAAAGCCUUCAGUCUCAGGAUCUCAGACUCCCAGCUGGAGGAUGCUGCAAUGUAUUUCUGUGCUUACAGUGUUAGGAGUCUGAGAGGUGCAGGCCAGAAGCUGGUAUUCGGGCAAGGAACCAGGCUGACCAUCAACCCCAAAAUCAAGGACCCCAACCCCACUGUGUACCAGCUGAGAAGCCCCGAGUCCAGCGACACUUCUGUCUGCCUGUUCACCGAUUUUGACUCUGAAGUCCAGCUGACACAAAUCACGGGGAGCAAGUGGAACAUGAUGCACAAGACAAAUAGCACUGCGCUCGACAUGGAGGUCCUGGGAUCCAAGAGCAACGGGAUAGUGACCUGGGGAAACACCAGCGAUGCUGGAUGCAAAGAUACCUUCAGCGAGGACAUUGUCGUAGCCCCCAGCGACGGAAUCGCCUGUAACGCCAAGCUGGUAGAGAAAAGCUUUGAAACAGAUAUGAACCUAAACUCCCAGAACCUGUCAGUGAUCGGGUUCCGCAUCCUCCUCCUGAAGGUGGUCGGGUUUAACCUGCUCAUGACGCUGCGGCUCUGGUCCAGUUGAGGUCACCGACAGCCUGAGAGCCCCGUGCUCCCUCGCCCCUUGCUCCUCGUCGCCCUUCCUCUCCCUCUCCAAGCAGAGAGGCGCACUCUCUGCCCCUGUGGAUGAGAAGUCUCCCUCCUCCUCUCUGGCCUGGCUGGCCAUAACACCAACUGGAUCCUCCAGAUACUGGCGAUCAAGAUGCUGACAAGCUGCCCAGCACAGCUGCCACCCACUCUUCCUCACUGCUGCUUGUCACUGCCUGGCAUUCUCGGCAAAGUCGGGGGGCUGCUGCACCCUCUCCUGGCUGUAGGGACACUCCCUCCCCACCCCCACCCCCCAGAGACUGCCUCUGAUGUCCCACUGGAUGGUGGAUCCCCAGUGGGUUCUCUUGGGCUCUAGCUCCCGGAGAAUGUUGUGUGGUGUUUAUAUUUUUUACAUAGUGUUCAUAAAAAAAUAUAUAUCACCCUUUUUCCCAAGAUGUGGGGAAAAAUUAUCUUUUCAUGAUCUAGGCCCUGCUCUGCUGUGUAUCUGAGCCACAUUGUAUAUUCUGCUGCCAAGGCUUCAAUAAAAGCGAUUUGGAAGAGA
Non-coding RNA from Cervus elaphus (red deer), 1408 nucleotides. NCBI's taxonomy places the organism in Eukaryota, Metazoa, Chordata, Mammalia, Artiodactyla, Cervidae. The record is from the annotation of a RefSeq genome assembly.